RNAcentral lists this long non-coding RNA (202 nucleotides) under Mytilus galloprovincialis (Mediterranean mussel). Lineage: Eukaryota; Metazoa; Mollusca; Bivalvia; Mytilida; Mytilidae. The record is from RNAcentral.
CAUUUUUCGGACAAUAAAAUAUGUUCAAAAGAGGGACGAAAGAUACCAGAGGGACAGUCAAACUCAUAAAUCGAAAAUAAACUGACAAUACCAUGGCUAAAAAUGAAAAAGACAAACAGACAAACAAUAGUACACAUGACACAACAUAGAAAACUAAAGAAUUAGAAAUACGAACCCCACCAAAAACUUAAUUAUUUCCGCC